RNAcentral lists this ribosomal RNA (2523 nucleotides) under Triticum aestivum (bread wheat). RNAcentral describes it as "partial small subunit ribosomal RNA". The record is from RNAcentral. Lineage: Eukaryota; Viridiplantae; Streptophyta; Magnoliopsida; Poales; Poaceae.
AUGCUCGACCAGAACCUUCUGGGAGGCACCCUCCCCGAAGGCCUCUCGCGUCUUGCUCUCCUUCGGCAACUCAAUGUCUACCAAAACCGCUUGCGCGGUACUAUCCCACCAAGAUUCUUCAACAUGUCCAAGUUAGAAGACAUGUCCCUCGCUAACAAUGCGUUCACCGGAAGCUUGCCAUCAUACGCAGGAGCUCGGAUGAUGAAGCUUCAGGUUCUCCUCCUCGGCGGGAACAAACUAACUGGGCCGAUCCCAGCAUCUCUAGCCAACGCCACAAGCAUGGCGUCUCUCAGCCUCUCCAACAAUAGCUUCAAUGGACAGGUGCCUCCUGAGAUUGGCACGUUAUGCCUCAGUAAGUUGGAGAUGUCCAACAAUGAGUUAACUGCAACCAAUGAAGACGGCGGUUGGGAAUUCUUGGACCGUUUGACAAAGUGCAACAACCUAGAAAUUCUUUCUCUGGAGGACAACAAGUUCAGUGGCAAAAUGCCACGCUCCAUCGGCAACUUCUCAAGGAAGCUUUUGGAUCUAAACCUCGGGGGUAACCGCAUAUCUGGUUCAAUUCCAUCUGGUAUUGAGAACCUCAUUGCCCUACAAACCUUGGGGCUAGAAUCCAAUCUCCUCACCGGUACCAUUCCGGAGGGGAUUGGGAAGCUCAAGAACCUUACAGAGUUACGGCUGCAGGAGAACAAAUUGUCGGGGCCGGUGCCAUCUUCCAUCGGGAGCCUGACAGAGCUCCUUAGGCUUGUUCUUAGCAACAAUGAAUUGAGCGGAUCAAUCCCUUUGACCCUCGGCAACCUACAGAAGGUGGCUCUUCUCAAUCUCUCCAACAAUGCACUCACCGGUGAAGUCCCAAGACAACUCUUCAACUUGUCAUCGUUGUCGCAAGCAAUGGACUUGUCGAACAACCGGCUUGAUGGCCCGCUUCCUCCUGAAGUCAUCAGACUUGGGAACCUUGCGCUCCUGAAGUUGUCAGGAAACCUCUUGACUGGUGAGAUACCAAAGCAGCUUGGUGGUUGCCAGAGCUUAGAGUUCCUCGGUUUGGACAACAACUUCUUUAGCGGAAGCAUCCCAUCUUCCUUGAGCAAGCUGAAGGGGCUUCAGAUGUUGAACCUGACGAGCAACAAAUUGUCGGGAAGGAUACCUCCGGAGCUCGGAAGCAUGUCCGGGCUCCAGGAGCUGUACCUUUCAUGGAACAAUCUGACUGGAACAGUCCCAGAAGAGAUGGCAAAUAUGAGUUCGUUGAUCAAGCUGGAUGUGUCAUACAACCAUCUCGAAGGACACGUGCCACUUCGGGGUGUGUUUGCAAACAUGACUGGGUUUAACUUCACCGAGAAUGGCGAGCUCUGUGGUGGCGUGCCUCAACUCCAUCUUCCACGAUGUUCGGUGGUAAGGUACGGAAGCCAUACUAAUUGGCCUCUUCAUAUCAUGGCACCGAUCCUAGGCAUAUUUCUCAUCUCGUCCAUACUCCUCACCAUUUUCCUAUGCUACAAGAGAAACUCGAGACACACAAAAGCCACGGCACCAGACAUACUUGAUGCCUCGAACUACCAGAGGGUCUCGUAUGCCGAAUUGGCGAAAGCCACAAACGGCUUUGCGGAUGCCAAUCUGAUAGGUGCAGGAAAGUUUGGUUCCGUGUACCUUGGAGCUCUCCCACUGAAUGACAACGGAACACUCGAGAGUGUUCCUGUGGCGGUGAAAGUGUUUGAUCUUCAGCAAGUCGGAGCCUCCAAGACAUUCCUGUCGGAAUGUGAGGCGUUGAAGAGUGUAAGGCACCGGAAUCUGAUCAGGAUCGUCACCUGCUGCUCAAGCAUCGAUGGCAGGGGCGAUGACUUCAAAGCUCUAGUGUUCGAGCUCAUGCCCAAUUACAGCCUAGACAGGUGGUUGCAUCCGACACCUGAAGCGCUGAAGAACGUAGGCAGCCAAACCGCAAUCCAACGGCUUAACAUCGCCGUGGACAUCGCCGACGCGCUGCAUUAUCUUCACAGCAACUGCGUACCGCCGAUCAUACACUGUGAUCUCAAGCCAAGCAACAUUCUUCUCAGCAAGGACAUGACGGCCUGCAUCGGUGACUUCGGCCUCGCAAAGCUGCUCCUCGAUCCGGGGAUCCAUGACACCAUGAAUUCAGAGAGCACCAUUGGAAUCAGAGGCACCAUUGGCUACGUCACACCAGAGUAUGGAACGACUGGCAAAGUUUCGACACAAGGCGAUGUCUACAGCUUCGGCAUCAUGCUGCUGGAGAUCUUCUCUGGGAGGUCGCCGACGGACGACAUCUUCAGGGAUGGCCUGACGCUGCCAGGGUUCGUCGGCGCGGCUUUUCCCAACAGAACAGAGGAGGUCCUCGACGCGACGCUGCUGGCGACCAAGGAAUUCGAUGGUGAUUGCCGCGUCUCAGUGCAUGAUUGCUUGGCUUCUGCUAUCUGGGUUGGGCUUAGCUGCACGAGAGCGGCGCCGUACGAGAGGAUGAGCAUGAGGGAUGCGGCCGCCGAGCUGCGCGCGAUCAGAGAUGCUUGUGCCCAAGCCUGA